GUAAGUAUAGUUAAAAUAAAAUAACAUUAGUUUGUCAAAUUAAUAUAGAAGAGUAAAACUUCUACUUACA
This 70-nucleotide transfer RNA is filed under the name Laemobothrion tinnunculi. Its description in RNAcentral is "tRNA-Asp". The record is from RNAcentral. Lineage: Eukaryota; Metazoa; Arthropoda; Insecta; Psocodea; Laemobothriidae.